UGGGGAAUAUUGGACAAUGGGGGAAACCCUGAUCCAGCGAUGCCGCGUGUGUGAAGAAGGCCUGCGGGUUGUAAAGCACUUUCAGUUGGGAAGAAGCAAUUUACGUUAAUAGCGUAAUGCGUUGACAUUACCAACAGAAGAAGCACCGGCUAACUCUGUGCCAGCAGCCGCGGUAAUACAGAGGGUGCAAGCGUUAAUCGGAAUUACUGGGCGUAAAGCGCACGUAGGUGGGUUAGUAAGUUGUUGGUGAAAAGCUUGGGCUUAACCUGAGUCUGUCCAGCAAAACUGCUAGCCUAGAGUGUAUUAGAGGGAAGUGGAAUUUCCGGUGUAGCAGUGAAAUGCGUAGAUAUCGGAAGGAACACCAGUGGCGAAGGCGACUUCCUGGAAUACCACUGACACUGAGGUGCGAAAGCGUGGGGAGCAAACAGGAUUAGAUACCCCCGUAGUCC
Molecule: ribosomal RNA, 449 nt
Filed under: uncultured prokaryote
Description: bacterial SSU rRNA
Rfam family: Bacterial small subunit ribosomal RNA
Source: RNAcentral